AAUGAACGCUGGCGGUGUGCUUAACACAUGCAAGUCGAACGAGAAAGUCUCUUCGGAGACGAGUACAGUGGCGGACGGGUGAGAAACGCGUGAAAUUUACCUUUAGUGAAGAAUACCCUCGAGAAAUCGAGGCUAAUACUGCAUACGUCCCUACGGGAGGAAAGAAUGGCCUCUUGCUGUCGCUGAAAGAUAAGCUCGCGUCCUAUUAGCUAGUUGGUGAGGUAAUGGCNCACCAAGGCGGAUGAUGGUAGCCGGCCUGAGAGGGUGUACGGCCGACAUUGGGACGUGAGA
Molecule: ribosomal RNA, 291 nt
Filed under: uncultured bacterium
Lineage: Bacteria
Description: partial 16S ribosomal RNA
Rfam family: Bacterial small subunit ribosomal RNA
Source: RNAcentral